Molecule: long non-coding RNA, 242 nt
Organism: Dreissena polymorpha
Lineage: Eukaryota; Metazoa; Mollusca; Bivalvia; Myida; Dreissenidae
Exons: 3
Source: RefSeq, a predicted model, not a curated record
CCUAGUUCCACUUGACCAGGGAAAUGACGCCAAAUGUCGCGCGUUCACAAGUGUUCACCCGUGUCGACACGACGAAGAAUGUAUUAUUGUUGAAGGUGUCCUUCGUUGCGUAAAAAAGACGACUGAUUCUGAGGGAAUUAAAUUGUCCGUAUUAGUCGCUUCUGUUGUUGGGUCACUUCUAUUCCUGGUUAUUGUGAUUCUUGUUGGCGUAAUUUGCAAGAAAAAUUCGCGGUCUUCAAAGG